RNAcentral lists this long non-coding RNA (838 nucleotides) under Homo sapiens (human). RNAcentral's name for it is "HSALNT0204995". Lineage: Eukaryota; Metazoa; Chordata; Mammalia; Primates; Hominidae. The record is from RNAcentral.
UAAUAGUGUCCUUGUCAGAACAGAUUGUACAAGAACCAUACUCAAAUAUGAAACCUUAUAUACAAAAAGGAACAAAGAAAAAAAGAAGCCAAUUCAUAUUUACUCUUAGAAGCUGAGAAAAGACAUGUACGAUUUAAGCAGCCCAUGAGGAACACUUCUCCAGUACACAAUUUAUUGCUCUAUCAGGCUCUUCUCCCUUCGCUCUGCCCUUCUCUCUCCUGCCACCUUGUGAAGAAGGACAUGCUUGCUUCCACUUCUGUCAUGAUUGUAAGAUUCCCGAGACCCCCCCAGUCACAUGGAACUCCACUGGUGUUGAGAAACUUCCUACAGGUCCAUUGCUGUGGAAUGAAGCAAAAGAGUAUUCUUUCAGGUCCUGCAUACCAGUAAAACUACUGAUGCUAGCUGUUGCCUAGGACCCCAUGAGGAGGUGACUCAACAAAGAAGGCAGUUUUCAGAUCCUGAUGAUUUCAUCCCCCUAACCCUGACCAAUCAACAACCACAAUUUUCUGGACCUACACCUUUCACAAUUCUUUUACAAAAUGCCGCCCAUAACUUCUUUGGGAGACAGACUUGUGGGUCCUUUCCAUCCCCUUACUUGGCUGUCAUAUGAUCAAUAAAUGUUUUCUCUGCUGCGAACACUGUUGUCUCAGUGCAUUUGUCUGUUACUUCACAGCAGGUAUAUAAAUUUGUUAAUCCUCUAACAAUAUCAUUGUGCUGAAUAUAAUUCAGUUUGAUACUCAAGCAAUUAUUAAACAACAUUUUAAAAGGCUUUCCUAAAUAUUUUCACAACUUACUUAAAUUAUCAAAUGGCUAAUAAAAAUAGUCUAUACAAUUUUAU